This 532-nucleotide ribosomal RNA is filed under the name uncultured Stenotrophomonas sp. Its description in RNAcentral is "bacterial SSU rRNA". It matches the Rfam family "Bacterial small subunit ribosomal RNA", at positions 1 to 523 of the family's 1533-position model. The record is from RNAcentral. Lineage: Bacteria; Pseudomonadati; Pseudomonadota; Gammaproteobacteria; Lysobacterales; Lysobacteraceae.
CGCCCUUGAGUUUGAUCAUGGCUCAGAGUGAACGCUGGCGGUAGGCCUAACACAUGCAAGUCGAACGGCAGCACAGAGGAGCUUGCUCCUUGGGUGGCGAGUGGCGGACGGGUGAGGAAUACAUCGGAAUCUACUCUGUCGUGGGGGAUAACGUAGGGAAACUUACGCUAAUACCGCAUACGACCUACGGGUGAAAGCAGGGGAUCUUCGGACCUUGCGCGAUUGAAUGAGCCGAUGUCGGAUUAGCUAGUUGGCGGGGUAAAGGCCCACCAAGGCGACGAUCCGUAGCUGGUCUGAGAGGAUGAUCAGCCACACUGGAACUGAGACACGGUCCAGACUCCUACGGGAGGCAGCAGUGGGGAAUAUUGGACAAUGGGCGCAAGCCUGAUCCAGCCUUUUUUUGUGGGUGAAGAAGGCCUUCGGGUUGUAAAGCCCUUUUGUUGGGAAAGAAAUCCAGCUGGCUAAUACCCGGUUGGGAUGACGGCACCCCAAGAAUAAGCACCGGCUAACUUCGUGCCAGCAGCCGCGGUAA